ACAGUGCAUGCAGUGCUGGAAAAACUAAGAAGACUGACGACUCAAUUCAUGGUAGGAGGCAUCAAGGAAGCCUUCCUGGAGAAGGAGAAAUGAAGAUUGAGUAUUGAAAGACAAGACAUAGUCAUAAUGGAUGUGCAGGUUAGGUGUCAGGUGAAAAGCAAGAAGAUUUCAUAAUUAAACACCACCACUGACCAUCAUUUACUAACGGAGGAGUCCCUGGCAUGUGACAACCCAGGACUGCCUGAAAAUGGAUACCAAAUCCUGUACAAGCGACUCUACCUGCCAGGAGAGUCCCUCACCUUCAUGUGCUACGAAGGCUUUGAGCUCAUGGGUGAAGUGACCAUCCGCUGCAUCCUGGGACAGCCAUCCCACUGGAACGGGCCCCUGCCCGUGUGUAAAGCAGAAGCGGCAGCAGAGACGUCGCUGGAAGGGGGGAACAUGGCCCUGGCUAUCUUCAUCCCGGUCCUCAUCAUCUCCUUACUGCUGGGAGGAGCCUACAUUUACAUCACAAGAUGUCGCUACUAUUCCAACCUCCGCCUGCCUCUGAUGUACUCCCACCC
Molecule: small RNA, 560 nt
Filed under: Pan troglodytes (chimpanzee)
Lineage: Eukaryota; Metazoa; Chordata; Mammalia; Primates; Hominidae
Description: processed transcript
Source: RNAcentral